This 136-nucleotide small nucleolar RNA is filed under the name Petromyzon marinus (sea lamprey). Its description in RNAcentral is "Small nucleolar RNA SNORA9 (ENSPMAG00000011792.1)". It matches the Rfam family "Small nucleolar RNA SNORA9". From Rfam's summary of the family: ACA9 is a member of the H/ACA class of snoRNA that guide the sites of modification of uridines to pseudouridines. Lineage: Eukaryota; Metazoa; Chordata; Hyperoartia; Petromyzontiformes; Petromyzontidae. The record is from RNAcentral.
ACGCAAGUCGUCCAGCAAGGGGGGGCACGCUCAUUGCCCCCACCUCUCCUAAAGCGCUUGCCAGAGAAAACCCCCGAGGUGGUUUGAGGCCGCGUUCGGCUCCUCCCGGACGCGGUUAUAGAAUCCUCGUACAGAA